CGCCUUCACCGGUGACUUUGGUGUGAAGCAGCCUACUAAGGCACGCGGUGAAUGCCAA
This 58-nucleotide microRNA precursor is filed under the name Ascaris suum (pig roundworm). RNAcentral describes it as "Asu-Mir-124_pre stem-loop". Lineage: Eukaryota; Metazoa; Nematoda; Chromadorea; Rhabditida; Ascarididae. The record is from RNAcentral.